UACCUGACCCAUAACUGACAAACAUCA
RNAcentral lists this non-coding RNA (27 nucleotides) under Mus musculus (house mouse). Lineage: Eukaryota; Metazoa; Chordata; Mammalia; Rodentia; Muridae. The record is from RNAcentral.